CCUUGACAUACUAAGAACUUUUCCAGAGAUGGAUUGGUGCCUUCGGGAACUUAGAUACAGGUGCUGCAUGGCUGUCGUCAGCUCGUGUCGUGAGAUGUUGGGUUAAGUCCCGNAACGAGCGCAACCCUUUUCCUUAUUUGCCAGCGGGUCAUGCCGGGAACUUUAAGGAUACUGCCAGUGACAAACUGGAGGAAGGCGGGGACGACGUCAAGUCAUCAUGGCCCUUACGGCCAGGGCUACACACGUGCUACAAUGGUCGGUACAAAGGGUUGCUACCUCGCGAGAGGAUGCUAAUCUCAAAAAGCCGAUCGUAGUCCGGAUCGCAGUCUGCAACUCGACUGCGUGAAGUCGGAAUCGCUAGUAAUCGCGGAUCAGAAUGCCGCGGUGAAUACGUUCCCGGGCCUUGUACACACCGCCCGUCACACCAUGGGAGUUUGUUGCACCAGAAGUAGGUAGUCUAACCGCAAGGAGGACGCUUACCACGGUGUGGCCGAUGACUGGGGUGAAGUCGUAACAAGGUAGGCGUAGAUGA
RNAcentral lists this ribosomal RNA (532 nucleotides) under uncultured bacterium. RNAcentral describes it as "bacterial SSU rRNA". It matches the Rfam family "Bacterial small subunit ribosomal RNA", at positions 979 to 1509 of the family's 1533-position model. The record is from RNAcentral.